GACGAACGCUGGCGGCGUGCUUAACACAUGCAAGUCGAGCGGUAAGGCCCUUUCGGGGGUACACGAGCGGCGAACGGGUGAGUAACACGUGGGUGACCUGCCCUCAGCUCUGGGAUAAGCCUGGGAAACUGGGUCUAAUACUGGAUAUGACUCCACGGUGCAUGUCGUGGGGUGGAAAGCCUUGUGCGGCUGAGGAUGGGCCCGCGGCCUAUCAGCUUGUUGGUGGGGNGAUGGCCUACCAAGGCGACGACGGGUAGCCGGCCUGAGAGGGCGACCGGCCACACUGGGACUGAGACACGGCCCAGACUCCUACGGGAGGCAGCAGUGGGGAAUUUUUCGCAAUGGGGGCAACCCUGACGAAGCAACGCCGCGUGGGGAUGAAGGUCUUCGGAUUGUAAACCCCUGUCGACUGGGACGAAUGUAGAACGGCCAAAUACGCCGAGCUAUUGACUGUACCGGUGGAGGAAGCCACGGCUAACUCUGUGCCAGCAG
This 492-nucleotide ribosomal RNA is filed under the name uncultured bacterium. RNAcentral's name for it is "bacterial SSU rRNA". It matches the Rfam family "Bacterial small subunit ribosomal RNA", at positions 28 to 514 of the family's 1533-position model. The record is from RNAcentral.